UAAGAACUUGACGUACUUUACUUCACAAGAAUCCUACGAAGUAGAUAUUACUAGCUGCAUUUUACAGCUAGGGAAAAUUCAUCUCUUAGAGUGCUUAUGCUCACACAGCAUCUACUUAUAAAAUAAGAAGGAUUAGUCUUCCAAGCCAGAGGACCUCCCUAAGCCUAAAGAGUGAAAGAAAAGCCAUUUCACAAAGAAGUAAUGGUACUUGGAGUGACAUUUCAGUGGAUUUUCGGAAUUCAAGCUAGCAGGGAGCUGGAGGGGGAAAUGGAAGAAUUUGUAUCUGAAGGACCCUAUUCUGACAGCAGAUGUCUCCCUUACAUACAGGUAAGGAAAGAAGCACUGUGGUAGGAAUCAUUUCAGUCCUUCUUGUGGCUGCCACAUAUCGUGUAUCAUGGGG
This 400-nucleotide long non-coding RNA is filed under the name Mustela putorius furo (domestic ferret). RNAcentral's name for it is "lncRNA (ENSMPUG00000029057.1)". Lineage: Eukaryota; Metazoa; Chordata; Mammalia; Carnivora; Mustelidae. The record is from RNAcentral.